UACGGAGGGUGCAAGCGUUAUCCGGAUUCACUGGGUUUAAAGGGUGCGUAGGCGGGUCUGUAAGUCCGUGGUGAAAUCUCCAAGCUUAACUUGGAAACUGCCAUGGAUACUAUAGGUCUUGAGUACCGUGGAGGUGAGCGGAAUAUGUCAUGUAGCGGUGAAAUGCUUAGAUAUGACAUAGAACACCAAUUGCGAAGGCAGCUCACUACACGAAUAUUGACACUGAGGCACGAAAGCAUGGGGAUCAAACAGG
This 253-nucleotide ribosomal RNA is filed under the name uncultured bacterium. Its description in RNAcentral is "partial 16S ribosomal RNA". It matches the Rfam family "Bacterial small subunit ribosomal RNA", at positions 524 to 776 of the family's 1533-position model. The record is from RNAcentral.